CAACAUUUAACACAGAGUAGAGAAGCUUCGGCUUUCCCAGGAGGGAUUCUUAACUCGCCUCUGCAGCUGUGAGCUCAUCAUUCAUCCACUACAAACUAUUUUUGCUUCAAAGCUGGGAUGUCCAAAAAUCAGCUACGGCCACAUACACGAGUUGAACUUCUAUUCAGUGGAUGACAUUAAAGCUGGAUACAUCAAGUUUCAGGACUUCAGUUCAAAGCACCAGUGUGGUACCAGGCUGCCUGCAAUAAAAGGGGAA
Long non-coding RNA from Mauremys reevesii (Reeves's turtle), 256 nucleotides. RefSeq lists it as uncharacterized. The record is from RefSeq and is a predicted model, not a curated record. Lineage: Eukaryota; Metazoa; Chordata; Testudines; Geoemydidae. The transcript has 3 exons.